GCCUAGAGCAGUGCUCGGCCUAGAGGAGGAGUGGAAGAAUCCCCACUGGACCUUUACCAUGUUGGCAAUUGCAGAGGUGAACACAAGCAAGACUGAAAAGAUGCCAACCACAGUGCUGUGUGCCCGAGAACGGACAAUGCUGCGGGAAAGGCGUUGCAGGGCCUUGGGGAAGAGCUGCAGACAGGCAAGAGACCGAGAGUUAGAGACUGUGUCAGCCAAGGGGUAAGGCCAACCAGGGAUGGGGCCUUGUAAGAGAGGCCUGGCCUUCUCUUCCUUCUCCCAGCAGGAUUCCUCACCACCUCAACCCAGCCUGCCCUCCCCAACCAGCCCAGGAAGAACCCUCAACAUACAGAGCCACAGGAGUACACGGCGCAGACAGGACAGGAACCCCAGUGUCACAGGGCCUGUGUGGUGCACAAUCAGGGGGAACCAUUCAGACUGAUUCCAUGGAGUUGUACAAGGCAGCAGACCCGGCGUACAGGACUCUGGCCCCCUGCCUGGAUCGCUCUACAGCUAGAAAUGAGAGCUCACAACUCCUGGGAGGAGAAGCACCGACCAGGGCAAGGUGGGUCAUGGGGCCAGGGCCCAGCACACUAUGACUUCCUGCUCCAGAAUCAGCCCAAACAAAACACAAUGCCGCUCCUUCUGCACCUGGUUCUCCUCACAAGACAACACCCAGGAGACUCGAGCUCUAUAUCCUCCUGUGAAUGCCCAGGACAAGUCCUCUCAUCUCUCUGGGCCUCUGUUUGCUCAUCUAGAACCUGAAGAAGGACAAUAAGAAGAUUUCUAAGGUUCCUCCCUGUUCUGACAUAACUUGCUAUACUAAUAAUUAUUAUUCUUAUUGGAGCUAAUUUGUUGGCCGCCUCCAAUAUGCCUGACUUCUGUGGCUGCCUCCUAUACAGUAACUAAUGGAUUUCCAACAACUCUAUAAAAUAAAACUAUCUCAUUUUAAA
Long non-coding RNA from Suricata suricatta (meerkat), 953 nucleotides. RefSeq lists it as uncharacterized. The transcript has 3 exons. Lineage: Eukaryota; Metazoa; Chordata; Mammalia; Carnivora; Herpestidae. The record is from RefSeq and is a predicted model, not a curated record.